Molecule: ribosomal RNA, 263 nt
Filed under: uncultured bacterium
Lineage: Bacteria
Description: partial 16S ribosomal RNA
Rfam family: Bacterial small subunit ribosomal RNA
Source: RNAcentral
CACGAGGGGUGCGAGCGUUGUUCGGAAUCACUGGGCGUAAAGGGAGCGCAGGCGGGAGUUCAAGCUAGGAGUUUAAUUCCGCGGCCUAACCGCGGGUUCGCUUUUGGAACUGGAUUUCUUGGAUGGGUGAUGGGUUGGCGGAAUUCCGGGUGUAGCGGUGGAAUGCGUAGAUAUCCGGAGGAACACCGAUGGCGAAGGCAGCCAACUGGCACCACAUCGACGCUCAUGCUCGAAAGCGUGGGGAGCAAACAGGAUUAGAUACC